Molecule: ribosomal RNA, 254 nt
Filed under: uncultured bacterium
Lineage: Bacteria
Description: partial 16S ribosomal RNA
Rfam family: Bacterial small subunit ribosomal RNA
Source: RNAcentral
UACGUAGGGUGCGAGCGUUGUCCGGAAUUACUGGGCGUAAAGAGCUCGUAGGUGGUUCGGCAAGUCAGUUGUGAAAUCUCCGCGCUCAACGCGGAGGGGUCAGCUGAAACUGCUGUGACUUGAGUCUGGUAGGGGAGUGUGGAAUUCCCGGUGUAGCGGUGAAAUGCGUAGAUAUCCGGAGGAACACCGGUGGCGAAGGCGGCUUCCUGGACCGACACUGACGCUGAGGCGCGAAAGCUAGGGGAGCAAACGGG